GUCUUUUAGCAUGCAAUGCAGGGGGACAGUGGUUGCACCACCCGUGCGAGAUUUAUUUGUAUCAGAUGUCCACGGAAGAGAUUAUAUAUUUGUGCUUCAUGCUGAUGGGGCACUACAUGUCUGGGAUACUUUGACUUAUAGCAGGGUUUUAUGUCAGAGUACGAGUAUAGUUGCUAGAAACGUUGAGGGGUUUAUGUGCCUGAGGUUGUGGUUGGGCAGAGCUGGUUACGGUUUUGGUUUUGACUAGGGUUACGAUUUUAGCUGUCCUGUAUAGAAAGAGUGUGGAUGUCAGCAUGGACGUGAUCACUGUAUAUGCCCUGCACAUUUUCUCUGAGAAGGGAAUAGUAGCUUUCACUAUAGAUUCUGGAUUACAGAAUAUCCCACUGGAAGGGGGGAGAUUGCGUGAUGUCAGAUUUUCAUCUGACAAUAUCUGGAUUCUAAAGGCUGAUAAAUUGACAUCUCACAUGUUAUACCAUAAAUCUAGCACCAUGGAAGCACAGUCUUACACUUUGCAGGAAGACUACAUUUCUGAACACCUAUUUCUGAGUUCUCGGAGCUCUUCACAUGACCUUCUUUUGACAACUCAUUCACUGUUUUCAUCCGCAAAGGUCUUUAUCCUAAAACAUAGCUUUCAUUUCGUUGAACAAAAUUUUCAAUGUAAUAUAUUUUAUGCUGUGAAACAAUAUUUUAAUUUGUUUGUAGUCCAUCUCUACACAAGUUACCCAUA
Camelina sativa (false flax) is the source of this 727-nucleotide non-coding RNA. The record is from RefSeq and is a predicted model, not a curated record. Lineage: Eukaryota; Viridiplantae; Streptophyta; Magnoliopsida; Brassicales; Brassicaceae.